RNAcentral lists this long non-coding RNA (1637 nucleotides) under Canis lupus familiaris (dog). RNAcentral's name for it is "lncRNA (ENSCAFG00000058549.1, ENSCAFG00805025569.1, ENSCAFG00845019847.1)". Lineage: Eukaryota; Metazoa; Chordata; Mammalia; Carnivora; Canidae. The record is from RNAcentral.
UCACCAAAUAUAAAGAGAAAAAAGUCAAAGACUAUCAUAUGGAAAAUCAUCAAUUUACAAAAGAAAGCAGCAAGAGAGGUAGAAAAGAACAAGGGACUUAUAGAACAGCUCAGUGAAGGUGUAAAAAAAUAUGCUCCAUGCAAGAAAAAAUCAAAAGAGGCAAGGGUAGCUAACCUUACAUCAGACAAAUAGACUCCAAGCCAAGAAUAAUAAUGAGAGACAAAGAAGGUCAUUUAUAUAAUAAUAAAGGGGUAAAUUCAUCAAGAGGAUAUAAAGCUAUAAAUAUAUAUGCACUCACAUUAGAGCACCUAAAUACAUUAAGCAAAUACCAACAAAUGAUAGAUCAUCCAGACAGAAAAUCAACAAAGAAUCAUUGGACUCAGCCCAUAUUUUAAACCAAAUGGACUUAACAAAUAUAUACAGACAUUUUAUCCAACUGCAACAAAAUGCAAUCUUCUCAGAAAGCACAUGGAACAUUCUCUAGGAGUGAUCACAUGAUAAAUCAUACAAAACAAGUCAUAGCAAAUUAAAGAAGAUUAAAAUUGUGCCAGGUAUAUUUUCCAACCACAACUGUAUGAAACUAGAAAUAAAUAAUAGGAGAAAAGCUGGAAAAUUAACGCAAAUUAAACAACAUACUCCUGAGUAACCAAUAGUUCAAAGAAGAAAUCAAAAGGAAAUUUUAAAAAAUCUUGAAACAAAUGAAAAUGGAAAUGAGACAUACCAAAAUUUAUGGUAUGCAGCAAAAGCAGUUCCAAGAGGGAAGUUUACAGAAAUAUUAAGAAAAAAGAAAUAUAUAUGGGUACCUGGCUGGCUUAGUCAGUAUAAUAUGACUCUUAAUCUCAGGGUUGUGAGUUUAAGCCCUAUACUGGUGUAGAGAUUACUUAAAAUUUUUUUUAAAAUCUUUAAAAAAAAAAGUUUCUCUGGGGCACCUGGGUGGCUCAGUCAGGCCUCCAACUCUUGAUUUUAGCUUAGGUCAUGAUCUCAGGGCUGUGAGAUCAGGACCUGCAUUGGGUUCCACACUUAGCGCAGAGUCUACAUGAGAUUUUCUCUCUCUCUCCUUCUGCUCCUCCCCACUGCUUGUAUACUCUCUCCCUAAAUAAAUAAAUAAAAUCUCUGAAAGAAAAAGGAAAAAAAUACUAAAUAAAAAAACCUAACUUUGUACCUCAAGGAACUUAAAAAAAAAGACAAAGUAAGUCCAAAGUUAGCAGAAGAAAAGAAAUAACAAAAAAGAGAAAGAAGAAAAGAAAGAAAAAGAAAGGAAAAGAAGACCAGAAAUAGAAUUGAAAAGACCAAUGAAAUUAAGAACUGUGUUUUUUGAAAGAUAAACAAAAUUGUCAAACCUUAAGUAGACUAAAAGAGAGAAGACUCAAAUAAAUAAAAUCAGAAAUAGAAGAGGAGACACUAUAAUAUACCACAGAAAUAAAGAUCAUAAAAGAACAUUUAUACGCCAACAAAUUGGAUAGCCCAGAAGAAAUAGAUAAAUUUCUAAAAUAUACCUACCAAAAUUAAAUCAUGAAGAAAUAUAAAAUUGUGAUGAACCAAUUAGGAGUAAGGAAAUUGAAUCAGUAAUCAAAAACCACCCAACAAAAGCCAUACCAGAUGGCUUCACUGGUGGGUUAUACCAAAUACUUAAGGAA